GGUGAGAAGAUACCCCUCAUCCAAGGUAAGGGGCAGUGGCUGCGCUUUGCUGGAGCAGCUGUGAAGAGAUACCCCACGUCCAAGCUCAAGAAGAGACUUGAUCACCAUCACAAUUCUCACAUACCUCAGUUGGCCAGAGGGAUAAAGGAUGCAGCAUUUCUGUCUCCUCCGUGGGGCCAAAGAGGGCUCCUUUGUGGUUAACAGCAGUCCAUGGAGGACAGCCUGGGAGGAAACCUAAGGGCUGGCCUGGAACAUGUGCAAGGCAGUGACUUCAGAGACUCCCAGAACAGCUGCCAGCUGAGUAAUAGUCCAUUGUGUAUAUGUGCCACUACUUCCUUAUCCAAUCUUCUGCCGAUGGACAUCAAAGUUGCUUCCAUGUCCCAGCUGUUGUGAAUGGUGCUGCACUGAACACUGGGAAAAUUAAGAAUAAGGUCACUAAAUGCUUGAGGGGGACAAAUCCAAAUCAUACCUCCCAAGACACAGUUCGAGCAAAUGCCUGCUGGUGUGUGGAGACAGAAGCAAUACACUGUGUGUGUCACUCUGCUGUGGACCACUAAUCGCUGAAGGCUAAGGGAGCACAUCCAUGUUUAUUUUUAUGAAUGUUCUGCUCUGCAAACUCUGUGGGACAGGCAGAGACAGCCAUGGUCCAGGACUCAGAAUGCUUGUCUUUCAUUCUGCUGCCCCUUAUAAGGUGCAUGAUGUUAAUAAGAAAACCAGUUUUCUGAGCCUCUUCCCAGAUCUUCUGUCCUCAUCCAUGGAUGGAGAAUGAUGAUAUUUAUCUCCUGCUCUUAUUAUGAAGUUCAAGUUCAGCUCUUUUCAGGAUAUAAAUCUGGAUUUCAAGUGUUAAAUGCUACACAACUGAGUGGAAUUAGUGAGCAAGUUUAAAAACCCAGUGGAUGAAAGAAAAUUAUGAAAGUAUGUAUGAAAACCCAUUUUAGUUAACAAGAUGAAAGGAAAACAUAGAUUUUAGAGCUGAGGAGAAAAUAUAUCAAUAGGAUUUGGAAAUUUCUUUUUUUAGCAUGACCUACCUUGCCUAGUG
Molecule: long non-coding RNA, 1039 nt
Organism: Bos taurus (domestic cattle)
Lineage: Eukaryota; Metazoa; Chordata; Mammalia; Artiodactyla; Bovidae
Source: Ensembl